GUGCUUGCUUCAGCAGCAUAUAUACAAAAAUUGGAACGAUACAGCUUAGAAUGAUCCUUGUGCACGAAUAACAUGUAAAUUUGUGAAGUAUUCUAUAUUUUU
This is a small nuclear RNA of Manis javanica (Malayan pangolin), 102 nucleotides long. Lineage: Eukaryota; Metazoa; Chordata; Mammalia; Pholidota; Manidae. The record is from RefSeq and is a predicted model, not a curated record.